Molecule: ribosomal RNA, 500 nt
Filed under: uncultured eukaryote
Lineage: Eukaryota
Description: SSU rRNA
Rfam family: Eukaryotic small subunit ribosomal RNA
Source: RNAcentral
GUGGCCUCAGAUAGCCAUGGCAUGGUCUAAGUAUAAAUGGGUAUACAAUGAAACAGCGAAUGGGCUCAUUAAAACAGUUAUAGUUUAUUUGGUAAUCAAACUUACAUGGAUAACCGUGGUAAUUCUAGAGCUAAUACAUGCUGUUCUGCCCGACUUACGAAGGGCCGUAUUUAUUAGAUAUCAGCCAAUAAGCAUCCGCUAUUGUGGUGACUCAUAGUAACUUAAUCGGAUCGCAUGGGCUCGUCCCGCGACAAACCAUUCAAGUUUCUGCCCCAUCAUGCUUUCGAUGGUAGUGUAUUGGACUACCAUGGCUUUCACGGGUAACGGAGGAUUAGGGUUCGAUUCCGGAGAGGGAGCCUGAGAAACGGCUACCACUUCCACGGAAGGCAGCAGGCGCGUAAAUUACCCAAUCCUAAUUCAGGGAGGUAGUGACAAGAAAUAAUGGGUCGGAGUUUUGCUCCGGGACUGCAAUGAGACGAAUUUAGACCCCUUAUCGAGGA